AUCAUCCUUUUCUUGAGGUUGCACUACUGUCCAAUGAGCUCCUAGUGAGGGCAGUACUGCUAAUGCCUUAACAAGAAACACUCAGAGACGAUAGAUAUUUUACCUUGAAAAGAUCUUGGAGUUUGCUUGGAAGU
Vulpes vulpes (red fox) is the source of this 134-nucleotide small nuclear RNA. Ensembl annotates it as U4atac minor spliceosomal RNA. Lineage: Eukaryota; Metazoa; Chordata; Mammalia; Carnivora; Canidae. The record is from Ensembl.